AGCUUAGUACAGAGCGUAAUCAUGUACACGGAAGAGAAGCAACCUCGUAUAAAAAGCGUA
This 60-nucleotide non-coding RNA is filed under the name unclassified sequences. The record is from Rfam.